GAUGAACGCUGGCGGCGUGCCUAAUACAUGCAAGUCGAGCGAACGGACGAGAAGCUUGCUUCUCUGAUGUUAGCGGCGGACGGGUGAGUAACACGUGGAUAACCUACCUAUAAGACUGGGAUAACUUCGGGAAACCGGAGCUAAUACCGGAUGAUAUUUUGAACCGCUUGGUUCAAAAGUGAAAGACGGUCUUGCAGUCACUUAUAGAUGGAUCCGCGCUGGAUUAGCUAGUUGGUAAGGUAACGGCGUACCAAGGCAACGAUGCAUAGCCGACCUGAGAGGGUGAUCAGCCACACUGGAACUGAGACACGGUCCAGACUCCUACGGGAGGCAGCAGUAGGGAAUCUUCGGCAAUGGGCGAAAGCCUGACGGAGCAACGCCGCGUGGGUGAUGAAGGUCUUCGGAUCGUAAAACCCUGUUAUUGGGGAAGAAAAUAUGUAUAAGUAACUGUGCACAUCUUGACGGUACCAAAUCAGAAAGCAACGGCUAACUACGUG
Molecule: ribosomal RNA, 497 nt
Filed under: uncultured bacterium
Lineage: Bacteria
Description: partial 16S ribosomal RNA
Rfam family: Bacterial small subunit ribosomal RNA
Source: RNAcentral